Molecule: unclassified non-coding RNA, 329 nt
Filed under: soil metagenome
Description: partial contains 5.8S ribosomal RNA, internal transcribed spacer 2, and large subunit ribosomal RNA
Rfam family: 5.8S ribosomal RNA (bases 1-120)
Source: RNAcentral
GAUGAAGAACGUAGCGAAAUGCGAUAAGUAGUGUGAAUUGCAGAAUUCAGUGAAUCAUCGAAUCUUUGAACGCACAUUGCGCCCCUUGGUAUCCCGAGGGGCAUGCCUGUUCGAGCGUCAUUUCACCACUCAAGCCUGGCUUGGUGUUGGGCGACGUCCUCUUUGGGGACGCGCCUCGAAACGCUCGGCGGCGUGGCACCGGCUUUAAGCGUAGCAGAAUCUUUCGCUUUGGAAGUCGGGGCCCCGUCAGCCGGAAGACCUGCUCGCAAGGUUGACCUCGGAUCAGGCAGGGAUACCCGCUGAACUUAAGCAUAUCAAUAAGCGGAGGA